CCAGCAGCCGCGGUAAUACGUAGGGCGCGAGCGUUGUCCGGAAUUAUUGGGCGUAAAGAGCUCGUAGGCGGCCUGUCGCGUCGGCUGUGAAAACCCGGGGCUCAACCUCGGGCCGGCAGUCGAUACGGGCGGGCUGGAGUCCGGCAGGGGAGACUGGAAUUCCUGGUGUAGCGGUGAAAUGCGCAGAUAUCAGGAGGAACACCGGUGGCGAAGGCGGGUCUCUGGGCCGGUACUGACGCUGAGGAGCGAAAGCGUGGGGAGCGAACAGGAUUAGAUACCCUGGUAGUCCACGCUGUAAACGUUGGGCGCUAGGUGUGGGGGGCUUUCCACGUCCCCCGUGCCGCAGCUAACGCAUUAAGCGCCCCGCCUGGGGAGUACGGCCGCAAGGCUAAAACUCAAAGGAAUUGACGGGGGCCCGCACAAGG
Molecule: ribosomal RNA, 425 nt
Filed under: uncultured bacterium
Lineage: Bacteria
Description: bacterial SSU rRNA
Rfam family: Bacterial small subunit ribosomal RNA
Source: RNAcentral